Poecilia reticulata (guppy) is the source of this 2736-nucleotide non-coding RNA. The record is from RefSeq and is a predicted model, not a curated record. NCBI's taxonomy places the organism in Eukaryota, Metazoa, Chordata, Actinopteri, Cyprinodontiformes, Poeciliidae.
AGCCGAAGUGCAACGCUCGCAUUCUUUACAAUUCCACACCACUUCACUUUCAUUUUUCAGACGAUAUGAGAGGAUAAAAGAAAGCUGAUGUUGCAAGCUAAGCUUUGCUCUAUCAGCUUAAAUCUGAAAGGCAAAAAAAAGUGUUUAAUGACCAGUUUAGUUUGGAGUUUUUGGUUAUGGUUUAGUUUUAUUUUGUUGUGACUUUUUGUUAGUCUUGAAUCUCAAUUCGUUUUUAGAAUGUGUUUGCUAGUCUUUAUUAGCAAUGAAUACUCAACAACAAAUACAAUUAAAAAAAAUAUAUAGUAAAUUAUUGUCAGGAGUAUGGAAUGCCGUAAUUUGCAAACAGCUGAUGUAAAUUGCUUGUGUUGUGAUUUUUAAGCAUUGAUGGGUUUUUUUUGCUGUGCCAACCUGAAAACUCCAGAGUUCUGUGGUGAAACGGGUCUGAGUGACACACCGUCAACAACAGGUCGGCUGCUCUGAGCUAGUUCUGAAGUGUUGGGAAUCCGGGUUUCAAAGCUGGGGCUCCUCUCCGCUCCAAGGAAAAGCAUGAAACAACAAGGAAAUGGCAUGAAAACCUUUUUUAUCAUUACAAACUGCAAAGUCAUCCAUCCUCCAACUGCCAUCUUGGAUCGGGCCAAUGACUGACAUGUCAUUUGAAAACUUAGGGAGCUGAAGAGCAGUGGAGCAAACACUCACCCUCGUGGCGCACCGGCACUGGUUGUCCUGGAACUGAAUGACAAUAUUGACAAAUCUUUAAAAUUUUGUUUUCACCGUUUUAAACCUCGUUCCUGUGCUUUCAGAACUGAUUCGCCAAUUUCUACUGCUAAAAUCAAAAUGUUUGCUGCAGUUGGUGAAACAUUUUUACUUUUUAUAGGAUGAUGUAAUACAAAAAACAUUAAAUUCCAUGAUUAAAAUUUCUUUCUACAUCAGUGCAAAGUUCUGAGUCAAAUUUAAAAAAAAAUGAACUGAUUAAAGAGAUGGCAGAGGAUUUCUGAAGUGUGACCUUCACAGUGAAAGUAAGUAAAAAAAACAAACAAUCAUUUUAAGUGCUUAAGUGGAGGCAGCUGGACUUCCCUGGUUUCUUGAAGACCACCUCUGAUCCAAAAGGUUCUGAACAGGGUGGGAAGCAGCAUGCUUUCAACCUGUAGGCAGAACAAUCCCACUAAUUGGGCCAUUAAGGUCAUUAAUGGGGCAAUUGGGUCAAAAAAGGUUUUCAGUGCCACGCUGGGCGCUUUAAGUGAUUCUAAAAGUACGUUAGGAAGGACACGCGCUUCAAACCGGAGCCAAUGUUUUCUGCAUAAACUCUUCAGAAACACUAAAAUGAGAGCGACAAAGGAAGCUGAAUCAUUCAGUCCCUUUGCCCGUUACUUAUUUUUAAAAAAAGAAAAGAAAUAUUCCAUAAUUACUUCUACCUACCUAUUUAAAAUGUAGUUACUGAAUGAUACUUCACAUUUUCUUAGAUGGAAAAGCAUUUAGGUUUUAUGUGCAGAUUUUUUAAAUUAUUAUUUUAACUUGGAUAUGAACACAAGUGACUUUAGUUUUUCUUUCCUGCUUGGUUCCGGGUUGGUGCAGCAGAGCCAUCUGGACAAACAGCAGUUCAGAAGCAAUACUCCAACAGCCUGCUGAGGUCAGCUGCCAACACAAACUCGGGACUCUUCUACUGAAUAAACAAUAGAGACUAGUGUUCCAUAAGGCAGGAGCUACCGCGUGUCGCAGAGCUCGGUGGACUUCUGACAGGUGGCGUCACUCCUACGCGCUGCAAGCCGCUCAGGCAAGCAGUGCAGAUGGUGCGUUGCAAGCUGUGUCUGCCAGCAGCUUUUCUUUUUUACCCCCUUUUUUCAGUUAUUGUAAAAACUUUCUAGGCCUUUCCUUACUUUGCAGGGAGAGGAUUUGGGGUGGCAGUGGGGGAGUUCACUUCCUGGCUGGGCCUUCAGGAAAAGAAUAAAAAUCAUCUCAAGCUGUUUGUUCGACUUUUAUAGUUUUCAAUCACAAACAGGAAAUUUUUAUAUUUCGCGAGGACUAACAAAAACGAAACAAGGCAAGGCUGGAAAUCACUGAGCAAAACAAUGAUGACAACAUAGCCAAUGUGAGUUAAGUUGAGCUGAGAGAAAAUGUUCUGUGACAGUAUGUACAUCCAGACUUCAAGGAAAACGGCUUGAUGGCAAGUUUUUAAACGACAACCCCGGUUACAGCUCUAAAGCCAUGUAAUGAUACAAAAAGAAAGAAAAGUUCAGUGCGAAGUUCGCUGUGAAUAAGUUUCACCAGAAAUAUCAAGAAUAGAUUGGUACAGAAAGCAUGAUGACAAAACCGGGAAACCAUUUAGUUGUUUUUUUUCAUAUGAACCCAAUAUCUGGUUAAAAAAAAAAGAUAAUUUUUUUACAGCCAGAUGAUUGUUUAUGUAGCUUCACAUUAAAACAGGAAGCUCAGCCCAAAUAUAAAGACAGACCAGUCAGCUUAGCACUUAAUCAAAACUCUUUCAUAGUCUAAUCAAAGCUUUUAAUGUUUUGCCAGCUGUUUGUCCAGAGUUGUUAACAGUACAAAAGACAAUAAAGGUUUUAUUGAAAUAAUUUUUUCUGUUUGACUUGGGAAAGGAGUAAAUUUGUCUUUAUUUACUUCCAUUAUUAGUAGGGAUUUGAACGAUACAUCGGCACUAACAUCGGCAUCGGCUGGUAUUAGUCAUUAUGUAAUGUAUCAGCCCCGCCAGCUUAAUAUAAAAAAAACCUACAUUUUUCAAAA